UCCCCACUUGCCCUUGGGCAGAUAGUGGGGGGUGAGGAGCUUUUAAGGCCAAGCCCUAGAAAAGACAUCAGGGCUCAAGGGACUUGGCUACUUGAAUCCUGCUCCCGGUUGGUUCAGUCAUUCUACAGCUGUUUCCUGAGCCCCUCCGUUGUGCCAGCCCAGCACAGGGUACUUGGCCACCCCAGGAAUGACACAGUCUCUGUAGGAGAAGCAGACAGGUAAACAGCGACCAUUUCAUGUGUUCAGCCCUGCCCUGAGCCAUAAAUCCCUGCUGGAGAGCCAGAAGAGGCGUCUCCUCCAGCCCAAGUCGGAAGACUUCCUAGAAGGGGUGGUGCCUGAACUGAGUUUCAAAGGCAAGUGGGAAGAGCCCCUGAGGAAGGGGUCAGCAUGGCAGGUGAGAGAAUAGUGUGUGCAAGGGCCUGGAGGUGGAGUAGGAUAAGGUGAGGUAGUUCAGAGGGGCAGAAAAUGCUGAGGAGGAAGGCAGGGGCCAGAGCCAGGUCAUGCUGGUCAACCCAAGCAAGGAAAGAGGGAGCCAUUGAGGGAUGCUAAGCCUCUGAGAGACAAGGUCAGCUUUACAUUCUUUACAGAUCCUAACUGUCUUCCUCCCUUCUCAGCCCGGGUUUCUCUGGGGAUGCCGGGGUUGGGAGUGGAGACACACACCCAGACAGACAGGAAGAGGAACUAGGUGCAGUGUACGUCAAGAAAGGAGGUCCCCACCUUCUUGCAUCACACCUGGAGUCAGACCUAAGUUAGCAAUCUGGCCGUACCCUUCCUAGUAGUAUGACCUGGGGCAGGUGACUGACUGAGCCUUGGAGUCUUCGUCUGUAAAUGGGAAUAAUAAGGUCCGCCAUCACAGAGGAUUGUUACGGGGCUUCAGCGAAAUAAUCUGUCCACUCUUGUAACAUAUUUAACAGCUACCCUGAGGCAGACCCUGUGCCAGGUGCUGGCAUUAGAGCACUGAAUUAGACAGGCAUGGUCCCUACUGUCUCUUGGCACUUACAAUCCAGUGGAGAAGACAGACAAUAAACAAACAAACAAAUGAGAUAAUUACAGAUUGUGUAAAAGUGCUGUGAAGGAGACAAACAGUGGGACAUGAAGGAGGAUAACUGAAAGUGGGGAGAGGAAGGGGCUGCCUUACUCAGUGUGGCCUGGGCAGCUUCUCCGGGAGAACAUGAAGAUUUAGAGCUCAGAACAGAACAUUCCAGGUCCAGGAAACUGCAACAGCCAAGAUGCUGCCAUGGGAGCCAUGAGGAAGUUAGCCUGAUUCCUCUAAGAUGCCAAGCUUUCUGAGGACAGGACCUAGGUCUCUCACUUCUCGCAGCCUUCUGGAAAGAUUUUACUGGGUAAAGUAAAUAGCAAUGUAUUUGUGGCCAGUGGGGGUGGUUAUUUUCCUGCUUGCUAGGCCAACUGCCCCACCCCCAUCCCCUGGAGUGGUGUUUUGGUGGGGGGGUGUUGCUGGCCUCUUAUCAGUUGGCCCAUCUGCACAGCUUAAUCUUCACUCCAGCUGUUCUGUCCAGGAAAGGCCUCUGCCCACUCCUGUACCUUUCCUAGGGUUCCCAGUCCUCUCCCUGGACAGGAGGGGCAGGUUGGGGCCCCUCCAGAAUCUGCCAAUCCAGAGCCUGACCUGCAGGACUGAGAGGGCAGAAGUGCCCCCAUGAGAAUGGCCAAGUGAUUUAGGUCAGCGGGCCCUUUGGAGUGUCCGCCUUGGCCUGGGUCUCGCUUCCAGAAGACCUUGAGGAACGCUUCCUUGCACACGGAUGCAGUUCACACACAGCCUUCGUGCUGCAGAGCUCACUCAGCUCCUCUCACGCACUCACCAUCCAGCUGCACACUGCGUCUCCAUGGCAACCAGUAGGCCUGGUCCGUGGAUGUUAGAAAUAAGUGCCGGAGGAAGAGGAGAGAGAAGGGGAGAGGCAGAGAGAGGAGAAACAUCAGCAAUAAAGAGACUGGCAAAGAGCCUCCUAAGGAGCCCCCAUUCUUUCCUUGCGCCCCCUGCCAGGAAGACUUGAAUGGACUCAGGGCCUAAGGAUGGAGGGGCUCCAGAAUAAAAGCUUUCAGGAGGCAAGAAUCUUGUGUAACUUAUUUACCACCCCUCACAAUGUUUGCUGAAUGGAUGAAUGACUGGAAACUGCUUGGGGAUUCUUCAGUCAGAGCAAGAAAAGAGAGACAGAGCGAGGUGGGCCACAGAUAAAUGAAAUCGAGGCUUGACAGGGCUCGCCCCAAGGCUCACAGCUGAUGAGUAACAAGCCAGAACUUCACCCCAGGCCAGGCCUUUCUGACAACCUGUCCAAUGCUGUUGAGGAGAAAAGGGAAGAAGCCGAGGCUGUAUCUGAGGCCCGGAAAGUUAAGGAACUCCCUGAGGUCGCCCAGAGACAGGUGUACAGACCAGGUCCCCUGACUUUAAGGCAAGUUCCCCCUGGCCAGAGGCCUUCCACGCACGGCAGGGUGGGGGACUUC
Non-coding RNA from Manis javanica (Malayan pangolin), 2457 nucleotides. The record is from RefSeq and is a predicted model, not a curated record. Lineage: Eukaryota; Metazoa; Chordata; Mammalia; Pholidota; Manidae.